CCCUGGUUAGCUCAGUUGGUAGAGCACUCCACCUGUAAUGGAGAAGGUCCCGGGUUCGAUACCCGGACCAGGCG
RNAcentral lists this transfer RNA (74 nucleotides) under Ixodes scapularis (black-legged tick). It matches the Rfam family "tRNA". From Rfam's summary of the family: Transfer RNA (tRNA) molecules are approximately 80 nucleotides in length. Their secondary structure includes four short double-helical elements and three loops (D, anti-codon, and T loops). Further hydrogen bonds mediate the characteristic L-shaped molecular structure. tRNAs have two regions of fundamental functional importance: the anti-codon, which is responsible for specific mRNA codon recognition, and the 3' end, to which the tRNAs corresponding amino acid is attached (by aminoacyl-tRNA synthetases). tRNAs cope with the degeneracy of the genetic code in two manners: having more than one tRNA (with a specific anti-codon) for a particular amino acid; and 'wobble' base-pairing, i.e. permitting non-standard base-pairing at the 3rd anti-codon position. Lineage: Eukaryota; Metazoa; Arthropoda; Arachnida; Ixodida; Ixodidae. The record is from Rfam by way of RNAcentral.